GAUGAACGCUAGCGAUAGGCUUAACACAUGCAAGUCGAGGGGCAGCACAAGGUAGCUUGCUAUCUGGGUGGCGACCGGCGCACGGGUGCGUAACGCGUAUGCAACUUGCCCUAUACAGGAGGAUAACCCGUCGAAAGACGGACUAAUACUGCGUAUGCUCACAACUUGGCAUCAAGUGGUGAGGAAAGAAAUUCGGUAUAGGAUAGGCAUGCGUCCCAUUAGCUUGUUGGUGAGGUAACGGCUCACCAAGGCAACGAUGGGUAGGGGAACUGAGAGGUUUAUCCCCCACACUGGUACUGAGACACGGACCAGACUCCUACGGGAGGCAGCAGUGAGGAAUAUUGGUCAAUGGGCGCGAGCCUGAACCAGCCAAGUCGCGUGAAGGAGGACUGUCUUAUGGAUUGUAAACUUCUUUUAGACGGGAAUAACAAGAGUCACGGGUGACUCCCUGCAUGUACCGUAUGAAUAAGCAUCGGCUAACUCCGUG
RNAcentral lists this ribosomal RNA (487 nucleotides) under uncultured bacterium. RNAcentral's name for it is "partial 16S ribosomal RNA". It matches the Rfam family "Bacterial small subunit ribosomal RNA", at positions 28 to 507 of the family's 1533-position model. The record is from RNAcentral.